ACGCAACGCGCAGAACCUUACCUGGUCUUGACAUCCCGAGAAUUUCCUUGAAGAGGAAGUGCCUCGCAAGAGGAGCUUGGAGACAGGUGCUGCAUGGCUGUCGUCAGCUCGUGUCGUGAGAUGUUGGGUUAAGUCCCGCAACGAGCGCAACCCUUGUCUUUAAUUGCCAGCAUUCAGUUUGGGCACUUUAAAGAGACUGCCGGUGUUAAGCCGGAGGAAGGUGGGAUGACGUCAAGUCCUCAUGGCCUUUAUGCCCAGGGCUACACACGUGCUACAAUGGGUGGUACAAAGAGAUGCCAACUCGCGAGAGCGCGCCAAUCUCAGAAAGCCAUCCUCAGUUCGGAUUGGAGUCUGCAACUCGACUCCAUGAAGUUGGAAUCGCUAGUAAUCGCGGAUCAGCACGCCGCGGUGAAUACGUUCCCGGGCCUU
Molecule: ribosomal RNA, 429 nt
Filed under: uncultured Smithella sp.
Lineage: Bacteria; Pseudomonadati; Thermodesulfobacteriota; Syntrophia; Syntrophales; Smithellaceae
Description: bacterial SSU rRNA
Rfam family: Bacterial small subunit ribosomal RNA
Source: RNAcentral